This is a long non-coding RNA of Anas platyrhynchos (mallard), 4181 nucleotides long. RefSeq lists it as uncharacterized. The record is from RefSeq and is a predicted model, not a curated record. Lineage: Eukaryota; Metazoa; Chordata; Aves; Anseriformes; Anatidae.
GACCAACUGCAUGGUGUUUACAUGCUGCCAGGUUCCCAGAAAGGAAUUUGUCUCAUCUUAAAGCAGACUUCUGCAGUUGCUCAGGUAGCUCUUGCCCUCAAAGUGCCCUCUCUCCUUUGAAUUUGAAGGUUGCCUAUAUGAGGGGUUUAUGUGUGGACAUCAACACUGCAGGCAGCGUUUCAAUGUUGUCUGUGUAAAACAUAAAAAUUAUAGGGAUCUGCAGCCUAACAGGGAUAAUGUGAAGAUAAAUACAUGUUAUCAUAAUUAGACUGUUGGCUGGAUAGCACUUUUGAGCUUUAUCCACUUGAUACCCUAUUCUGUAAGUCCUCUCUCCAGUUUGUGCUUGCUCAACUAAUUUCAAGCUUUCUAAAUCCUAAUUCCUUAAACACCUUUCUUUCUCCUCCAGAAAGAUGGCUGUUACGAGUAAUUUCUUUGUAUGCAUUGAUUUGUAUGAUGACACUGAAGCAUGUGAAACCAAUUGAGAUCCUAACUGAACUACCUUUAAACAAAGUAGGGCAGUAUGGCAGCAAAGCCGCUGUUUGGACUGCAUGUCAGCAGAGCGACCCAGUAUGCUACGUAGGUUUCCAACUGUGCCGAAGUUCCCAGCACUGGGCAGGAUGCUUCUGUGGGUACUAAUACCCUUAGCUUGCAGUCCAAGCUGAAUAGUGCCUUACUGAGUGCUGUGGGAUGAAUUCUGGCACAGAAAGAGAGAUCAAACGCCAUACCCCGGCACGUGUCCUGGGUGAUUGAGCGUUUAUUGCAGAACCUCAGUGUUGCUGGAUAUUAAGUAAUUAUGGAUAUCUGUCUCUGUUUUGGCAAUGCUGGGGAUUCAUUACUUACAUGAUUUUGGCAGUGCUGAGGUCUGGUUUAUCUUGUCCUGCUGUGUGCUUUUGGAGGCUGGAAUCCCCACUCUUUUCUGAAGAAAGAAGCUGGUUUUCUGUAGUACAUUUCUGAUAUCCCAGCUUUGUUUCAGGACCUUUGCCUGAAUGGCUGGGCAAGUGGCAGCACAUAGCAUGGCAGGGGCAGGACUACGUGGGCAAUGGUUGCCCUGCCAAUGCACACAUGCUGGUGCUGGUGGCCACCUGGCUGCUGGCCCUAAUCACGCACCGUGGCUGGAUCCCUCUGACAGCACCAGCUCGGUUCUCUUUCCUUUACCCAAACAGAGAACCUGUCGAAAUGUUUUAUCUUUGACAUCUUCAUCCAUAUGCCAAGUGUGAAUAAAAUUACUCAGCUGUUCCAAAAGAGAGGAGGAAAGAGAGAUGUAUGAAUGGACAGACUGUGUGAUCAUAUAAACCUCAUUUCCUUAGAAAACCAAAGUAAUCGUGUAUCUCCAGCAUCAUGGAAAACAGCAAAAACUCUCUGAAAUGUUACAAAUAUUAUAAAGCAUAAAAUAUGUCUGAUUGCAGCAGAGCUAUGAUCCCAAGACUGGAAUAAGUAUGUGGAGUGGAAUUGAUUUCGGUGACUGGAAACCAAAACAUGGCCAUCUCAACCCCAAUUUCUUUCCUCUUAUACAGUUUUCUGAGGUAGGGUUUAAUGUUUUUCUCAGAGAGAAAAGUUAAAUAUUUCCUUGAAGAGUAUUUAUAAAACUAAAUAACUCUACAUGCCUGUGACAUCAAAUCACAAAUGUAGUGCUAUAUUGCCCUGUGGGCAUGCAGAUUUCAAGCUUUUCAGUAUAUUUUGCUAUUAUAACCAUUUUAAAGUGCAUUUCUUGCAAAUGCUGUAAUUUCUGGAGACACUUCAGUUGUACAUUGGCUUACAGACUGUUAUCACAGUUGUGGAAAGAAAAGAAGAAAAUAUUUCUAUUUCCAAACACCAAAAUCAGUCUGACAGGCCUGCAAUCUCUCUGAGAGAUCAAUGGUGACUUCUGUUUUCCUUUGCUUGUAUAACUGCUUUCCAACCCUUACACAAAAGCAUUAAUCCUUCCUAGAAACAAGGCACAUCUAUUCAUAAAAAACCCUUGGAGAUUUUAUUGCAGUAUGUUUUCAAGAAACAGUUUUUAAAUGCUUUCACUUAAGCAAGAGAAAUUAAAAAGAAAUAUUGGAGCUGGAAAAAUAUGAAUGACUUCUACUCAGAUACCCCAGCGUUUCUGACUAGCUUUGCUGUCACGGUCACAUUGUUUCCAUGUUAUGAGGUUGUUUUCCGCAUACUUGUUGGUCUGUGCCAUGCAUUUCAAGAAAACUGGGUUGUAGUAUAUGGGGACAAUGUGUGACAAAGUCUAGUUUGGCUAAAGAAGCUAUUCUGGAUCUGCUGAGUUACAAGGUAGUGGAUUCCCCAGUUCAUGUCUUUGCUUCCAGAAAGCUCUGCCUUUAUUAUGCUGAAGUGACUCCCCACAGGCUGGUGUCUUGAAUAUCCUCAGUGACAUUAAUUUCAUAACUUUUCCUGGCAUCUCAUUUCUGCAUUGGCUUCAUUCUGCAUUCAUACAGUUAUGAAAAUUUCCCUAAUUUUCAAUCUUAAUUUUUAUGUUAAUACUUUAUUUUAUUAGUUCCUGGUCUUCCUAAUGGGUUAAUGAGACUGAUUUAUCUCUCAUCUAGUAUCCUUUUGUACUUCUGUGAAUAAUCCUGCUUCCUCUUGGUCUUUUCUUUCCCUGAAAGCUUUUCAGCAGUUGAAGAUGUUCUACAGUAUUUUUCAAAUAUUUAAAACUAUUUAACUCCAUAUUUAAAAUAUAAAGUGGAGGACUGGAGUUAUCUCUAGUGAAGCUUGUAUUUUUGUAUGUUGUUUCUAUUAAUACUACCCAACAUCGUAUUUAAUUUUUUUUUUCUUUUUUCUUUUUUUUUUUUUCUUUUUUUCCUGACAGUCACGGCAACUUGCAUACAGUGCAUUAACAGCUUUAAUCUUCUCUGAUAUGACUGGUUGAUCUCUUUAUAAUGGUCAUUUUGAUGAUGUAUGGAUCAAUUUAAAUACAUUUUCCCCAUCUGAUUCCAGUCAUAUUUAUCUCUGCAAAAACCUUAACUGCUAUACUGAAAAUCAGUAGUGAGUUUUAACUGUCUCUUUUGGCCCAUGAACAGGCUUCAAAUGAAAAGGUUUCAAUGCUUCACUCAAGAAACAUAAUCCAUUUUAAAUGCCUGGUGCUUGAAAAUUCUUAGAAAGUGCAAGCUAUGAAUGCCUGGCUCGGCUGACCUAAGCUAGCUGCACUGCUAUGAUGUGGUAGAAAUAUAAGCAUAGGUAGGGGAAACUGCUGGGAUAGUGGGAAGAAGCGGGUAGCUGUUGCAAGGAGGAAAAACAACUGCAAACCUGAAAAACAGAUCUAAGCUGGAACUGGCAGCAAGAGAAGUCAUUUUAACGGAGCUGGGACUGAAAAUUGAAGCAUUAUAGACUCACAUGCAUCUUUGACAGCAGUACAUAAUUUCAUAGUAACCUGCAGAAGAUAACCGGGUAACAGUUCUUACUGGAUAACAGGAAUUUCCUUCCUGAGUAACUUACUUGUGCUAUUGAAGAUGGAAAUGUUCUCUUGUAGCUAACUCUUACAGGUUUUUCUUCUAUGUUCUCUGAAGUGGAUUUUCACAUUACUGCUGGUGGCAGGAAUUUACCCAACUCAUAACCAGGAUGGAAUAAAACUACCUAAUCCAGGUCACACUGGACUCAUUUGCAAAGCUGGAAGAACAAACUUCAGGAAUUCACUUGAAGAACUUGCACUUGAAGGAAAUUUGCAGAACAAGUGUUCUUCCAUGGCUGAUGAAAAAUAACUCACUUGCUCUUCUGAAUUGUCAGCGGCAUCUUGUACAUCUACACAGUAGAUAGAAGGCCAGCUUCCUUGCUGAUACUUUGCUGUGAACUUCCCAAGUGCACUUUCAAAUGUCCUCCUUUAUGGAAUUCAUGGAGGUAGAUGGAUGAUGAGGUUUACUAUUUGGCACCUAUUGGUGACCUUUAGUCACCAAUUUAGAACAAAUGUUAUACUAAACUAAUACCCUUGUUAAUUCAGAAGUUGACAUCCUAAAGGAAAAAAAAAAAAAAAAAAAAAAAAAAAAAGCCAGUUCCUUUGGCCAGCUUAUAGUAGCUUAAUGAAAUGUUCUUUUAUAUGCAUUGUGCCAUAGAGUUCUGGUCAGUAAGGUGCCAUGGACUUUCCUUAUCUGUGAUCUACCCUCAUUUUUCUCCUGAUGAUUUCCCAGCUAAUUGUUUAAAGGAUGCAUAAUUUGUUUGUAAAGGUUUCUGGCAAAAUAAAAUUAAUAAAGAUCUCAGAUGUG